Molecule: long non-coding RNA, 206 nt
Filed under: Gossypium raimondii (Peruvian cotton)
Lineage: Eukaryota; Viridiplantae; Streptophyta; Magnoliopsida; Malvales; Malvaceae
Description: long non-coding RNA (GRAI_LNC009770)
Source: RNAcentral
UCGACAUUCAAAUACACUUCCAACACUUGUUGUCAAGAUGACUCCAUCGAAAUAAACACAUACAAAAAACUUAGCAUCCAUCUUCAAUAUUUAAUCUGUAAAAAAAAAAAAAAAUCUCAUAAAAAUUCUCGAACGGUAAAUAAAUUACUAAUCCUAAUAACUAACACAAUAAUAAUAUUAAUAAUUUUAUACUCAAAAAAAUACAC